Molecule: ribosomal RNA, 759 nt
Filed under: Micrococcaceae bacterium
Lineage: Bacteria; Bacillati; Actinomycetota; Actinomycetes; Micrococcales; Micrococcaceae
Description: bacterial SSU rRNA
Rfam family: Bacterial small subunit ribosomal RNA
Source: RNAcentral
GCGUGCUUAACACAUGCAAGUCGAACGAUGACCUCCAGCUUGCUGGAGUGAUUAGUGGCGAACGGGUGAGUAACACGUGAGUAACCUGCCCUUGACUCUGGGAUAAGCCUGGGAAACUGGGUCUAAUACUGGAUAUGACUCCUCAUCGCAUGGUGGGGGGUGGAAAGCUUUUGCGGUUUUGGAUGGACUCGCGGCCUAUCAGCUUGUUGGUGGGGUAAUGGCCUACCAAGGCGACGACGGGUAGCCGGCCUGAGAGGGUGACCGGCCACACUGGGACUGAGACACGGCCCAGACUCCUACGGGAGGCAGCAGUGGGGAAUAUUGCACAAUGGGCGAAAGCCUGAUGCAGCGACGCCGCGUGAGGGAUGAAGGCCUUCGGGUUGUAAACCUCUUUCAGUAGGGAAGAAGCGAAAGUGACGGUACCUGCAGAAGAAGCGCCGGCUAACUACGUGCCAGCAGCCGCGGUAAUACGUAGGGCGCAAGCGUUAUCCGGAAUUAUUGGGCGUAAAGAGCUCGUAGGCGGUUUGUCGCGUCUGCCGUGAAAGUCCGGGGCUCAACUCCGGAUCUGCGGUGGGUACGGGCAGACUAGAGUGAUGUAGGGGAGACUGGAAUUCCUGGUGUAGCGGUGAAAUGCGCAGAUAUCAGGAGGAACACCGAUGGCGAAGGCAGGUCUCUGGGCAUUAACUGACGCUGAGGAGCGAAAGCAUGGGGAGCGAACAGGAUUAGAUACCCUGGUAGUCCAUGCCGUAAACGUUGGGC